Molecule: long non-coding RNA, 950 nt
Organism: Brassica napus (rape)
Lineage: Eukaryota; Viridiplantae; Streptophyta; Magnoliopsida; Brassicales; Brassicaceae
Exons: 3
Source: RefSeq, a predicted model, not a curated record
GCGUUUAAAAUCCAAAAGCGAAGGUGAAAACCCUAAUUUUCCUAGAAUCCAAAUCUAAAUUUCUCUCACUCAUUGCGUCCGAUAACUAAAAUCUCAAACAAAACACCCUUGUCACUCGCGUUUCUAUCAAGCCAUGCUCCUCUUCCUCGGCCUCCAACUUUUUGCUCAGAGGCUGCUCCGCCAGGAGGGCCUCUCCAAGACGUCCCUUCGCGUCGCCGUGGUCAAGCUCCUCCUCGAUGGCCGGUGAGACAGCCAUGGAUUCCGAGCUCAAGAUCUUCGUGGAUGGUCGGCAGUGUUCGUUCUCUUCUACGGAAAGCAGAGUCAAGUGUGGUCUCAUCCAGAGAGAACGUGGCAAGCUUUCCCCGUCUGAUCUCUAAGCAUCUCUACUCUUGAACAACUCAAGAACUCUGCAUCUGACAAGAAAAAGCUGUGAAAAUGGGAGCCCCAAAGCAUAAGUGGACACUGAAAGAAGAAGAAGCUCUUGUGGCUGGAGUACUCAAACAUAGAAAUGGAAAAUGGCUUUACAUACUCGCACGACUCUGAGUACUACCUCUCUCCUGACCCCAACCCCAACCCCAACUUCCACACUUCCCAUACCCCUAGCAGCCACAUCCACACCUCGUUUUUUUUGCUGAUAACCACAUCCACAAACCCCCUGUGCACAAAUCCCAAACAACCACAUCCAUAGACGCUCUGUCCGCAAUACCCGAACAAGACGCACAUAGUGAUCUCAGCUGUCUUGAUCAAGUUACUUUUUAGGUGCUGAUUAACAAUCUCUUUUACCUCAUGCUCAAUUUUGUAAUGUAUGUACUAAAACUUUCUUUUGUAGCCUCAACCGGCUUUUGUUAGGCGCAACCAAUUCUUAGACGCUAGUGUACAAUUUUUUACUUGUCUUUUGUAAUCAGCCUAAUUAUGUGUUCAAAUCCACUCACAAGACACUUUGUUCAUCA